This 345-nucleotide ribosomal RNA is filed under the name Escherichia coli 1-250-04_S1_C2. RNAcentral describes it as "partial 16S ribosomal RNA". Lineage: Bacteria; Pseudomonadati; Pseudomonadota; Gammaproteobacteria; Enterobacterales; Enterobacteriaceae. The record is from RNAcentral.
AUGGCCAUGAAUGGCGUUGGAUGCCGGGCAACCGCCCGCAUUAUGGGCGUUGGCCUCAACACGAUUUUCCGCCAUUUAAAAAACUCAGGCCGCAGUCGGUAACCUCGCGCAUACAGCCGGGCAGUGACGUCAUCGUCUGCGCGGAAAUGGACGAACAGUGGGGAUACGUCGGGGCUAAAUCGCGCCAGCGCUGGCUGUUUUACGCGUAUGACAGGCUCCGGAAGACGGUUGUUGCGCACGUAUUCGGUGAACGCACUAUGGCGACGCUGGGGCGUCUUAUGAGCCUGCUGUCACCCUUUGACGUGGUGAUAUGGAUGACGGAUGGCUGGCCGCUGUAUGAAUCCC